RNAcentral lists this non-coding RNA (45 nucleotides) under Schistosoma margrebowiei. Lineage: Eukaryota; Metazoa; Platyhelminthes; Trematoda; Strigeidida; Schistosomatidae. The record is from RNAcentral.
AUCCAGCUGAAGAGUCCCAAGUAGAACGAAACACACAUCCUAGAU